CCUACGGGAGGCAGCAGUGGGGAAUUUUGGACAAUGGGCGCAAGCCUGAUCCAGCAAUGCCGCGUGAGUGAAGAAGGCCUUCGGGUUGUAAAGCUCUUUUGUCAGGGAAGAAACGGUGGGAGCUAAUAUCUUCCACUAAUGACGGUACCUGAAGAAUAAGCACCGGCUAACUACGUGCCAGCAGCCGCGGUAAUACGUAGGGUGCAAGCGUUAAUCGGAAUUACUGGGCGUAAAGCGUGCGCAGGCGGUUUUGUAAGUCUGUCGUGAAAGCCCCGGGCUCAACCUGGGAAUUGCGAUGGAGACUGCAAGGCUUGAAUCUGGCAGAGGGGGGUAGAAUUCCACGUGUAGCAGUGAAAUGCGUAGAGAUGUGGAGGAACACCGAUGGCGAAGGCAGCCCCCUGGGUCAAGAUUGACGCUCAUGCACGAAAGCGUGGGGAGCAAACAGGAUUAGAUACCCUGGUAGUCCACGCCCUAAACGAUGUCUACUAGUUGUCGGGUUUUAAUUAACUUGGUAACGCAGCUAACGCGUGAAGUAGACCGCCUGGGGAGUACGGUCGCAAGNUUAAAACUCAAAGGAAUUGACGGCUGAGAGNGCGAGACGACGACGAGGGAGGAGG
This 617-nucleotide ribosomal RNA is filed under the name uncultured bacterium. RNAcentral's name for it is "bacterial SSU rRNA". It matches the Rfam family "Bacterial small subunit ribosomal RNA", at positions 338 to 948 of the family's 1533-position model. The record is from RNAcentral.